Molecule: ribosomal RNA, 489 nt
Filed under: uncultured bacterium
Lineage: Bacteria
Description: partial 16S ribosomal RNA
Rfam family: Bacterial small subunit ribosomal RNA
Source: RNAcentral
AUUGAACGCUGGCGGCAGGCCUAACACAUGCAAGUCGAACGGUAACAGGAAACAGCUUGCUGUUUCGCUGACGAGUGGCGGACGGGUGAGUAAUGUCUGGGAAACUGCCUGAUGGAGGGGGAUAACUACUGAAACGGUAGCUAAUACCGCAUAACGUCGCAAGACCAAAGAGGGGGACCUUCGGGCCUCUUGCCAUCGGAUGUGCCCAGAUGGGAUUAGCUAGUAGGUGGGGUAACGGCUCACCUAGGCGACGAUCCCUAGCUGGUCUGAGAGGAUGACCAGCCACACUGGAACUGAGACACGGUCCAGACUCCUACGGGAGGCAGCAGUGGGGAAUAUUGCACAAUGGGCGCAAGCCUGAUGCAGCCAUGCCGCGUGUAUGAAGAAGGCCUUCGGGUUGUAAAGUACUUUCAGCGGGGAGGAAGGGAGUAAAGUUAAUACCUUUACUCAUUGACGUUACCCGCAGAAGAAGCACCGGCUAACUCCGUG